UACGUAGGUGGCAAGCGUUGUCCGGAUUUACUGGGCGUAAAGGGCGUGCAGGCGGUCUGUUAAGUUCAGGGUGAAAGCUCCCGGCUCAACUGGGAGAGGUCCUUGGAUACUGGCAGACUUGAGGGAGGUAGAGGAGAGUGGAAUUCCCGGUGUAGUGGUGAUAUGCGUAGAUAUCGGGAGGAACACCUGUGGCGAAAGCGGCGCACUGGACCACAACUGACGCUGAGGCGCGAAAGCUAGGGGAGCAAACAGG
This 253-nucleotide ribosomal RNA is filed under the name uncultured bacterium. Its description in RNAcentral is "partial 16S ribosomal RNA". It matches the Rfam family "Bacterial small subunit ribosomal RNA", at positions 524 to 776 of the family's 1533-position model. The record is from RNAcentral.